RNAcentral lists this long non-coding RNA (293 nucleotides) under Amborella trichopoda. RNAcentral describes it as "long non-coding RNA (ATRI_LNC004084)". The record is from RNAcentral. Lineage: Eukaryota; Viridiplantae; Streptophyta; Magnoliopsida; Amborellales; Amborellaceae.
UGAGGCUGUGAUGCUACGUCAACCUACUUUAUUGGUCCAACCACCCUUUGUGGGUUUUCGCUUAGUCUGGGGAAGUGGCGCCGUAAAGAUGGUUUUUACCAGCCUCCUUUAUUUUUGGGCUCUUUUACCCAUGACCUUGGGGUCAUGUCCACCCUUUUUCAUCUGUUUUUUCUCAUGACGCCAUUUUGGGGCUUUCAUCAUGCCCGGGUUUUUAUUUUCAUAGAACUCUUUUACUCAGGACUUCAUGACCAUGCCUGUCCAUCAUUUUUACUCAUGGCAUUCCCUUAUCCAAG